This 73-nucleotide transfer RNA is filed under the name Clostridiales bacterium. RNAcentral's name for it is "tRNA-Phe". It matches the Rfam family "tRNA". Rfam says of the family: Transfer RNA (tRNA) molecules are approximately 80 nucleotides in length. Their secondary structure includes four short double-helical elements and three loops (D, anti-codon, and T loops). The record is from RNAcentral. Lineage: Bacteria; Bacillati; Bacillota; Clostridia; Eubacteriales.
GCCCAGGUAGCUCAGUUGGUAGAGCAGUGGACUGAAAAUCCACGUGUGGGGGGUUCGAUUCCGUCCCUGGGCA